RNAcentral lists this ribosomal RNA (619 nucleotides) under uncultured Clostridium sp. RNAcentral describes it as "bacterial SSU rRNA". It matches the Rfam family "Bacterial small subunit ribosomal RNA", at positions 92 to 730 of the family's 1533-position model. The record is from RNAcentral. Lineage: Bacteria; Bacillati; Bacillota; Clostridia; Eubacteriales; Clostridiaceae.
AGAGCGGCGGACGGGUGAGUAACGCGUGGGUAACCUGCCCUGUACACACGGAUAACAUACCGAAAGGUAUGCUAAUACGAGAUAAUAUACUUUUAUCGCAUGGUAGAAAUAUCAAAGCUUUUGCGGUACAGGAUGGACCCGCGUCUGAUUAGCUAGUUGGUAAGGUAACGGCUUACCAAGGCGACGAUCAGUAGCCGACCUGAGAGGGUGAUCGGCCACAUUGGAACUGAGACACGGUCCAAACUCCUACGGGAGGCGGCAGUGGGGAAUAUUGCACAAUGGGCGAAAGCCUGAUGCAGCAACGCCGCGUGAGCGAUGAAGGCCUUCGGGUCGUAAAGCUCUGUCCUCAAGGAAGAUAAUGACGGUACUUGAGGAGGAAGCCCCGGCUAACUACGUGCCAGCAGCCGCGGUAAUACGUAGGGGGCUAGCGUUAUCCGGAAUUACUGGGCGUAAAGGGUGCGUAGGUGGUUUCUUAAGUCAGAGGUGAAAGGCUACGGCUCAACCGUAGUAAGCCUUUGAAACUGGGAAACUUGAGUGCAGGAGAGGAGAGUGGAAUUCCUAGUGUAGCGGUGAAAUGCGUAGAUAUUAGGAGGAACACCAGUUGCGAAGGCGGCUCUCU